AUUCAACCUAUUCUCACAUAGUGUAUUCAUUUAGAUUCCUCUCUUGUCUCUCCCAUAGAUAGUCAUCACACAAUUAUCCUGAAAAAGAUUUAUUGCCCACAAAUUUAUAUAUUUCCUCCUUUCUUUUGAAGACAUAUACUGCAAAUUACCAGCUCCAUACAGUUUGAUAUCACACCUAUAAUCAAAGUACUCUGGACUGAAAUAUCCUAAGAUUCCAAGUUAAAUUGCUGCUUUUGGCAAGAGACCCAAGGAAUUUCAUUUAAUGGAGGCAGGGUGUGGGCAGUUUCCCCAGACCAGAAACUUUGAAUAACUUUUUAUAAAAGAUAAUUAAAUAAUUGAACAGUACCAAGAAACAUUUAAGGUUUUUAUAUAAUAAUCACAAAUUGUAAUAGCUAUUCUAUGUGGGUUUUUUUUUUUUCCUUUUACCAUAUCUAUAAAGGUAGUGGACAUGAUGAUCAUUUAACUUUAGUGAUUACAGCUUGAUUUCGAAAAACCUUUUCCUUUGCAAUACCCAGUUCUUAAGUCAAAUCACUGCACUGGGACUAGAUCCUGAAAUCUUAAAAUACUGUUAACUCAGUUACUAAUCUGUUACUGAUUUUUUUUUCUUUUUACACACUUAUCUCAGUCUUUUUACAGUUAAAUCCAUAACUCAAAAGAAUUAAAAUCUUUACAUUUCUAAGAAUAUUUCUAAUAUAACAAAUAAUCAUAUUAAUUGUAGGCACUUUUAACACAUUACAGAUCACAUUAACUGGGAUAAUAGCUUACUAACUUUCAGAUCCAUAUAGUAUAAGCAUAAUGAUGCGUAUUUGGAUCUACUUUCCAAACAAUAUUAUAAAGAACCUUAAUUUGUAAUUUCAGUGAUUUAAUAUUUUAUAUAAGGGCUAUUUAUUUCAAGCAUUUCAUAUUAUGGAAUUCACCAUUUCCAGCUAAUUUACUGCCAAAGAUUUUAAACAGUAUAUGUGAUUUUAAUUAUAACAAAUUCUUUCACACUUAAGAACUGAGUUGCUCAUUAGAUUGUCCCUAAACCCUAGACUAUUUGAAACUGUGGUGUGGAACAAGAGGGGCUUGGAACAUGUAGUAUCCUCCAUUUUGAGUGCCAAGCUUGUUGACUUACUACUUAACAGAAACAUUUUUUCAAAUUAGAAAGCAACUUGCCCUCCCUUCUUUCCUGCUGCUCCUCAUCUUUAGGAAUUUGGAAAGUUAACAAUUUACAAAUCAGAAAAGCAGUAUUUCUUGCACAUCUUUCAAUAACGUUAUAAAAACAGCUUUACAAUGUUAAUAUGUACUUUAAAUAAAUUGCUGAAAUCCUAAAGUUAUUGCAUUUAAGACUAUGAUAGAAAAACUUCUGAUCAAAGUGUCUUAAAAGACAAAAAAACUUAGUUCUGCAGUUUUAAACAAAUUGGCCUGACAUUCAGAUAUAUUACGGGGGCAAAGACAGUCCCCUGGAUUUAAUAUUAACAUAAUCUACAAACUUUAACUUUGGGAUCCAAUAAAAUCUGAAUUGAUUCAAUUUUACCAUAACAAAAAAAAAAAUUCCCUUUUGCCAAGUGACUAAAUGAAGAAACUGUUUUCCCUCACCAGCUCUUCAAACUGCUUAUUCUAGAUUUUAAUUAGUUGCUAAAUCCAAGAAAGAAAAAUAAAUAACCUUAAUGUUUUUACAGAGAAAGAGACCUGCAAAAUGGAAAACUCCUGAAUCUUAACCUGCUUUUUCAGUUACCUCUAUCUAGCAAGUACAUGCCAAGAAAAGACAAAACAGACAAAAGCAUAAAGCAAUCAAAGUUGAGAUAAAAACUAGUUUGGGAAAGGUUUUUACACUGCUUUUUUACUUGCUUCCUGCUUCUAUUCAGAGCAGGUUGAUUUUUUUUUUUUUCAGUGCCACACUCAAUCCUAUGUUUAGCUUAAUUUCUUCUUAAAAUUCCUUCUGACAUACUUCCACCUGAACCUUAAGGUGACUUCUCUCCAAACCCUUUUGGGAAGAAUUUUAAUUUGCUCCCCAAGAUUCAUACUUUACCAGAGUUGGUACUCUUCACAGCUUGCCUGUUUCAUUCAACCCUCUUAAGGCUCUCACAAUGAAAUUUGCAAAAAAAUUUUGGGUCAUGCUUGCUUAUUAACUCUCUAAUAAGAGGACUUAAUGGCCAAGUUUCUAAUCCCAAAGUGAACCCCCAAAUUUCUCAGGUGGGUCCCCAUGUCUAUGCCGAAUAUCCCAAAGCAUCCCCAAAAGUCAUCUUAAAAACAGGAUUUCUUUUUUUAAGCUCUCUGAGUCAAGGAGUUCAGUUAGCAAGCUCUGUCCCUGUAAACCUAUUUGAGAGGACCCUAUAUGGUGGUGAGAGUGAAAAUUAGAGAGUUGCAGCAUUAAAAACAUAGACACAAACAUAUAAACUUAACCAGAUACAAUUUAAUUAUUGAUAAAAAGAAAUGUCAUAUCACAACUAGAGUCCUAACAAAAAAACUCUCCUUGUGGAGAACUCUCCAUGGGCCCAAAAUAGAGGAAAUUUUGGUUAAGAAACUAGAGUGCAGGGCUUUGAUCCUUUGUGGUUGGCAUAAUUAGGGUAAUUAAAAUGUUUUAGAAACAAGUUUCUGGAUAACUUAAUCAUUUUAUUAAUAAGGCUAGCAUGUUUAUUAAUAAAAGGAUUGUCAUUUGACAGUCUCUCUUAGACCAAAGACCAUCAUGGUGGUGGGUUCACAUAUAUAUAUACAUACCCUUCAAAGAGUAGAUGUUCCCCUAGUUGGGAAUUAACCCUGAUUGGUUAAUAAUGAAAGAAUGAAUAUAAUAAAGAAGGGCUGGGCAUAAACUUUGUUUAAGCCAUUUAUUUCUUAAAUUAACCCCAGCCUUGGGCAAUCUAGUCAAAGAAUUUAUGCACCAUCCAAGCCUGAGAAAAUAAAAUAGCUACCCAUAUAUUUGGAUGGGAUCAGAAGAAGAAAGUCCAAUCUCAUUAUUAGUAAUGUCCUUCUAGAGAUUGAACUUUUAAAAUCAGGGACUUUAGAAAAAAGGAGGGCAUUAUGGGUUUUCUCAGAUCAUUGGUCAUUCAUAAUAAUUUAUCAUAUAUUUUAUUAGAAAUGUUAGUACUUUCACAAUGAAUGACACUUAUUUAAGAUGUUAGUAGGUUAAAUUUUUAAUCCAUGAUUUCCUUUUCAUUUUUAAGUAAAUUUAAGAACCUGAUUUUGAUUUUAUAACUCAGUCAUUUAAAUUUUUAGAUAUUUUAUACUUUAUUCUUAUAUUUCUUAGUGAAUCACACAUUGUUCUUAAAGUAUUUUGAUUUGCUUACAAGUGUGUGGUGGUCCUUUUGGGAUUCUGUCUACUUUGUUCUGUGUUCAUUGUGCACAUAGUCUUUAAGUUUACAAACCUGGCAAUGGGAAAGCUGCUUUAAUUUGAUUUGUUUUUUUCAGUGAAUAUUUUGUAUAUGAUCACUGAUGAUUAGAAAUGUAAAUCUAUUCACAAUUGUUUUUAUCUCUUGUAUACUCAAGUGAAUUGUAAGCAUUUUCUUUAGGGGGAAAAAAGCAAACCCUUUUUAUUCAGUCCAGCAGAGGAGUUUUUGUCAUGGUUUACAUACUACUAAUCAUUUAAAAUGCUACUUUUUAUGUGGGGAGGGGGGAGAAGUAUUUGUGUUGCAGGUAAAAACAGAAAGGUUAGGUCAACUUUAGUAAUUUUUAUGAACAAUGACUUUAAAUGGGUACAGAAUUUGAUUGCUUUUUAAACUCUUUCUGACAGAACUUAACUUUAUUACUUUAGACUUUAUUAAAGAAUUUUGUGAACUUAAUUGGAUACUUUACGGUUUCUUAUAAGGGAAUACACAAAAUUUUGCAAUUAUGGAAAAUGGAAUCAUAAUAUGAAUCUCAAUCCAAAUAAUGUCAUAUGUAUUUUCUGUUGAAGUCUCUUCAUGCCCUACUACUCCUUUAUUAGUUGGUUUUCUUUAAAAUAUUCUAAUUUUGUGUGUGUGUGUCAAGAAGGGGCUUCAGGUUUGUAUUUAAAUAUGUGCACACAUACUUGAAAAUUAUGUUAUAAAUUCAAAAGCUAGUAGUAAAUACUUAUAUCAAAAAAAAUUUUUUUAAGUGACGAAAAUGCUAGUUAUUUCAGAAUAUAUAUACAGAGAGAGAGAAAAAGAAUUUGAUAUUUAUGGCCUCUCUUGCCAUCAUUAGUGAAGAUAGUAACUAUUUUGGUUUUUAAAAAUAUAUACAUAGUUUGACCUAAAUAUUAAAAUUUUAACUUCUAAGACACUUCACUCUAACAUUAUCAAUGUUUCAUGCAAUGCAAAGAAUUAUACUGUGGUAAAAAGAUAAAACAUCCUGAUGUUUAAUGGGGUUCUAUAUUUGAUAUAAAGCCAAGGCUAUAGGAGUACUACCUGAAAUGCUUUUUAUGUGUUUGGAAGAAAAUGUGUGUGAAAGUUGCCACUUACAUAGAUUGAGAAUUUAUUCUCUUUGGACUUGGAACCAUGUUUGGGUAUUGCAUAAGAUUUAUUUUGUCUCCAUUCUGUAUUUUGCUUUACUAAUUGGAGUUAAGAAAUCUUGAGGUUUGGUCAUAUCAGCAGUCAAAUUGGAAUAAUACUCAAUGUAAAUAAUUUCAUCAGCAUGAUUCAACAGUGGAAUAGUAUUUUAGAAAUUUAAAAGUAUUCAGCAUUAUAUUUGUCUUCCUUUUUUGAUUAGGAGCAGAACAAUAUUUAACAAGUGCAAUAGCCUCAGUUAUGGAUGAGAUGACAAUUAAAACAUUUUGUACUUUGUUCUAAUAUUGGGGGUGGGGGGAGGGUCGGAACCAUUUGCUGCUGAACCUACUGCCUUCUUAAAGGCUUUCUUUGCACCUUAGAAAAUAUUUAAAGAGGGGAAAUGUUAUACACAUUAAUUUGCUUUCUUUGAUAUCUAUGGUCCUUAAAGGUCAACCUCAAUUCUCAAGAAGCCAAUCUUGAAAUAUUCUUUACCUUCAAACACAAAAGGAUCAUGACUGAACACAGCCUCUAUGCAGCAGCAACAUGUGUUUCAUACAAUAGUUCAUUUAAUUAGAUUUGCACAUUACUUAUCAUGACAAAAGUACCUGUUAAGAUCCCCUUGUAAGCAAUAAAGAUUAGUCCAAGUUUCAGCUUCUGUGCUUUAUUGUAAAAUAAGUGAUUUUGUCAUAUUGGAUCUUCAUUUACAGAUAACUUUUCAUGAGCUUCUUUAGGUUUUUUAUAAACUUGUUGGUACCAUCUUUAUAAUUCUUAUUGAAGAUAUGCUACUAUUCUCAAUGAUUACAUCUUGUUAACGAGUAUUUAAGUUGCUUUACUUUCAAAGUACUUUUUCUUUUGUGGUUUUUUUAGUGUUUGAAAUAUUAAUUAAACCUAUAUUUUGUAAUUGUUUUCUGGUUUGUUUUGAGAUUCUCUUCACUUGGUAGUUUUCUUGGCUGGACUUAUCAUGAAAAGUGAUUUUAUUAAUUAACCUUUUUCAGCUCUUAGUGAUAAUAUCCUUGUAUAAUUGUGCUGCAGAUUUUUUAAAAAGUGAAUGUAGGGGCAGCUAGUUGGCGCAGUGGAUAGAGCACCAGCCCUGAAGU
This 5515-nucleotide long non-coding RNA is filed under the name Sarcophilus harrisii (Tasmanian devil). Its description in RNAcentral is "lncRNA (ENSSHAG00000021386.1)". The record is from RNAcentral. Lineage: Eukaryota; Metazoa; Chordata; Mammalia; Dasyuromorphia; Dasyuridae.